UGCCAGACUCCUACGGGAGGCAGCAGUGAGGAAUAUUGGUCAAUGGGCGCAAGCCUGAACCAGCCGAGUCGCGUGAGGGAAGACGGCCCUACGGGUUGUAAACCUCUUUUGCCGGGGAGCAAGCCUGAGCACGUGUGCCCAGGCGGAGAGUACCCGGAGAAAAAGCAUCGGCUAACUCCGUGCCAGCAGCCGCGGUAAUACGGAGGAUGCGAGCGUUAUCCGGAUUUAUUGGGUUUAAAGGGUGCGCAGGCGGGCUGUUAAGUCGGCGGUCAAAUGUCGGGGCUCAACCCCGGCCUGCCGUUGAAACUGGCGGCCUCGAGUGGGCGAGAAGUAUGCGGAAUGCGUGGUGUAGCGGUGAAAUGCAUAGAUAUCACGCAGAACUCCGAUUGCGAAGGCAGCAUACCGGCGCCCGACUGACGCUGAGGCACGAAAGCGUGGGUAUCGAACAGGAUUAGAUACCCCCGUACAA
RNAcentral lists this ribosomal RNA (469 nucleotides) under uncultured bacterium. RNAcentral's name for it is "bacterial SSU rRNA". It matches the Rfam family "Bacterial small subunit ribosomal RNA", at positions 329 to 794 of the family's 1533-position model. The record is from RNAcentral.